Molecule: non-coding RNA, 74 nt
Organism: Myotis lucifugus (little brown bat)
Lineage: Eukaryota; Metazoa; Chordata; Mammalia; Chiroptera; Vespertilionidae
Source: Rfam
GCCAGUGUGGUUCAGUGGAUAGAAUGUCGGCCUGUGUACUGAAGGGUUGUGGGUUCAAUUCCCGAUCAAGGGCA